Non-coding RNA from Chelonoidis abingdonii (Abingdon island giant tortoise), 1787 nucleotides. NCBI's taxonomy places the organism in Eukaryota, Metazoa, Chordata, Testudines, Testudinidae. The record is from RefSeq and is a predicted model, not a curated record.
CAUUAAAAUCAAUCAGAUUUGUGCUGCAAACCUUUAUCUGUGAGCUUGAGAGACUAGGUUCAAGUGUUAAAAAACCCUAAAAUUAAGUUUUAAGAAAUAGUGUUCUAUUUCCUUUUAUUAUACUUGAUAAGGCUAAGGAUAUGUUGGAUUUUAUUCAGAAAUUAAGCUAUAGUAUAUAUUUAUAUUCCUUUCAGGAAGGCAGAGGCUUGUAUUUACGUUUAUAGUAAGUGUUGACCUACUUUAAAUAUCUAAACUCAUCUAUGGAAAAGUACAAAUUCCAACUGUACUAUCUUAGAUACACUGUCGUUUGGUAAGAUACGCACAUCGAAGCUAGUUGCAAUCCCAACAUUAGCCCUUAAAUGUGUAAAAAUGUUUAAUAAAAGCUUUGUGAGAUUUUCUAGGGCAACACAAUGGUGCAAGUUGCAUGUGCUUGAAGCCAAAAGGUUAAGAAGCAUUCAUAUUGAGUUAACGUGCUUUUCAAAAUGCCAAGCCCACUCACAAGUAAUCCUGAACUAAGAACAUAAAUGUAACUUGGAGAUAUAAAUUCAACCAAAUGAUUUUUUUUUAAAUAAAGGAUUAGGCAAAUAUAUAAAUUGGGAAAGAUUAACAAGAAUAAAGUGUACAUAUUUAGCUAAAUAUGAAGACAAUACUAUCAAUCUUUUAUUUAUAGCUAUAUCAAAAGCCAGCUGUACACUAGAAAUAGGUAUUUUGGAACUACCUGAGUUACUACUUCCAACAAGAUAAAAAACUCAUCAGCUGAAAAUAUAACAACUCAGAUACUUGUCAGGGUUUACUUUAGUACAUGCUGCACUGAUCAAUUAAGUAUGCUUGAAUUCACAUCUCCAGGAUUUCCUAAUUGGCACUUACUGCUUGAACAGUGCAAACCAAAACAGAUCAAAGUGAUGUGUGACAAAAAUGUUCAAGGCACAAUGAAGCACUUCUGUAAGCCAAGCCAAGAACACUUGAAGGAGUAGUACAGUGGGAAAGCAGGGAACAAGUGCUGAAAACUGAAGCAAAGGUGGCAAGAAAUGAAAUAAAACUAGACUGAUAGGACUGUGUUAUGAGGAGAAAAUGGGAGAACAGCCAGAAGUUGCAACUUCAGGUUGCUCCAUUCCCAACUGGACAGAGAUCAGGCACGUCAAAUUUGCUGCUUUUUAUUUACAGUAGAAGAACAUGUUGCUCAUAUAUAUCCGAACAGUGGUACUAGUUAUAGCCAGCUUUAUUAGAUGUUUGAAGUUUUAUGUGCUUUAGUUUUGAGACAACAUCAACCACUACUUUUGACAAAUGCUACUUAAGCUGGAGCUUUCAGUUAUCUACCUAAACGUACCACAAUACCGUACUACCAAAGUCGGCUUUAUAUUGCAUUUGACUCUUAUUUAAUAACUUAGAUACACGGUUGGGGAAAAUCAAUGAUUUUAGAGUAAACCGCAUACAGAGACAAAACUUGGAGCAAAGCAAGGUUUAUUAGAGACAAAAUCACACAAGCACUGCUGGUGACAGAGAUGUACAUUGUAGGCAAUUCCAUAAUACAAGACCAAGAGAUCAAAGUUAAUAGCAAGUACAUUUAAAAGAAGAGGAAAUACAUCUAUGCGCAGCCUGCGGCAGAACGGAGCGGUGCAGACACUGAGGCCUGGUCUACCCCGGAAACUCAGAUCGACCCAGCUACGGAGCUCAGGGCUAUGAAGAAAUCUCCCUCCCCUCCGAGUGCAGCCACGCCACCUAGCCCGGGUGUAGACGCAGCUAAGGGCAGCCACACUGGGCCCCCGGCUCCGACUCCCCCAUCCCGC